ACCACUCUUUUCAACCUCCCGAAGGGCUGCCCAAAUUCGUUCGUGUGCUUAAAGUCGUAUCGAACCUCCGACGAAUUUCUCCGGCGAACUUUCGUGGAAUAAUCGUGUAAGUGGUUUCUUUUAGCUUCAAUUAUCCGAGUCUUAAUCGACCUUUUUCAAAGAGCUUUUUAAACAAAUUUCUCUUCAUCUUAAGCUCUCUUGAUUUCAAAAUACUCGAGUUGGCCACUCGUUAUUAUCGGGAAUUUGUGCACUAACUUUAUUUGCUCACUAACUCAUAAUUUGUGCUCCCAUUCCCAUCACUCCCA
This 305-nucleotide long non-coding RNA is filed under the name Daucus carota (carrot). Its description in RNAcentral is "long non-coding RNA (DCAR_LNC006576)". Lineage: Eukaryota; Viridiplantae; Streptophyta; Magnoliopsida; Apiales; Apiaceae. The record is from RNAcentral.